UCAUUAUUGAAAUAAACNUGAUAAGUUGCUGCUGGUUCUCUAGGGAACAAUGUGCACACUUGUCAUCUUUGUAUCUUCACCUGUGCACCUUUUGUAGACCUGAUUAUCUCUCUGAAUGCUUUAUAGCACUCAGGAUUGAGGAUUGACUUCUUGUCUCUUCUUACAUUUUCAGGUCUAUGUUUCUUCAUAUACCCCAAUGUAUGUUUAUAGAAUGUAAUUAAUGGGCCUUUGUGCCUAUAAACCUUUACAACUUUCAGCAACGGAUCUCUUGGCUCUCGCAUCGAUGAAGAACGCAGCGAAAUGCGAUAAGUAAUGUGAAUUGCAGAAUUCAGUGAAUCAUCGAAUCUUUGAACGCACCUUGCGCUCCUUGGUAUUCCGAGGAGCAUGCCUGUUUGAGUGUCAUUAAUAUUAUCAACCUUUUGGGUUGGAUUUGGGUUUGCUGGCCUCUAUCAGGUCAGCUCCCCUUAAAUGCAUUAGCAGACAACAUUUUGCCAAAUGUUCAUNGGUGUGAUAAUUAUCUACGCUAUUGACAUGAAGCAAAGGUUCAGCUUCUAACUGUCCAUUGACUUGGACAACUUUAUU
Molecule: ribosomal RNA, 582 nt
Filed under: Calonarius parasuaveolens
Lineage: Eukaryota; Fungi; Basidiomycota; Agaricomycetes; Agaricales; Cortinariaceae
Description: eukaryotic LSU rRNA
Rfam family: 5.8S ribosomal RNA (bases 249-402)
Source: RNAcentral